GACGAACGCUGGCGGCGUGCUUAACACAUGCAAGUCGAACGGAAAGGCCCUGCUUUUGUGGGGUGCUCGAGUGGCGAACGGGUGAGUAACACGUGAGUAACCUGCCCUUGACUUUGGGAUAACUUCAGGAAACUGGGGCUAAUACCGGAUAGGAGCUCCUGCUGCAUGGUGGGGGUUGGAAAGUUUCGGCGGUUGGGGAUGGACUCGCGGCUUAUCAGCUUGUUGGUGGGGUAGUGGCUUACCAAGGCUUUGACGGGUAGCCGGCCUGAGAGGGUGACCGGCCACAUUGGGACUGAGAUACGGCCCAGACUCCUACGGGCGGCAGCAGUGGGGAAUAUUGCACAAUGGGCGGAAGCCUGAUGCAGCAACGCCGCGUGCGGGAUGACGGCCUUCGGGUUGUAAACCGCUUUCGCCUGUGACGAAGCGUGAGUGACGGUAAUGGGUAAAGAAGCACCGGCUAACUAUGUG
This 468-nucleotide ribosomal RNA is filed under the name uncultured bacterium. RNAcentral's name for it is "partial 16S ribosomal RNA". It matches the Rfam family "Bacterial small subunit ribosomal RNA", at positions 28 to 507 of the family's 1533-position model. The record is from RNAcentral.